This 497-nucleotide ribosomal RNA is filed under the name uncultured bacterium. RNAcentral describes it as "partial 16S ribosomal RNA". It matches the Rfam family "Bacterial small subunit ribosomal RNA", at positions 28 to 507 of the family's 1533-position model. The record is from RNAcentral.
GACGAACGCUGGCGGCGUGCCUAAUACAUGCAAGUAGAACGCUGAAGCGCGGAGCUUACUCUUCUUGGAUGAGUUGCGAACGGGUGAGUAACGCGUAGGUAACCUGCCUUGUAGCGGGGGAUAACUAUUGGAAACGAUAUCUAAUACCGCAUAACAAUGGAUUACACAUGUCAUUUAUUUGAAAGGGGCAAUUGCUCCACUACAAGAUGGACCUGCGUUGUAUUAGCUAGUAGGUGAGGUAAUGGCUCACCUAGGCGACGAUACAUAGCCGACCUGAGAGGGUGAGCGGCCACACUGAGACUGAGACACGGCCCAGACUCCUACGGGAGGCAGCCGUAGGGAAUCUUCGGCAAUGGGGGCAACCCUGACCGAGCAACGCCGAGUGAGUGAAGAAGGUUUUCGGAUCGUAAAGCUCUGUUGUAAGUCAAGAACGGGUGUGAGAGUGGAAAGUUCACACUGUGACGGUAGCUUACCAGAAAGGGACGGCUAACUACGUG